UACGUAGGGGGCAAGCGUUGUCCGGAAUCAUUGGGCGUAAAGCGCGUGUAGGCGGCCCGAUAAGUCCGCUGUGAAAGUCCAGGGCUCAACCCUGGAAUGCCGGUGGAUACUGUCGGGCUCGAGUCCGGAGGCGAGUGGAAUUCCUGGUGUAGCGGUGAAAUGCGCAGAUAUCAGGAGGAACACCGAUGGCGAAGGCGGGUCUCUGGGCAGUAACUGACGCUGAGGAGCGAAAGCGUGGGGAGCGAACAGG
RNAcentral lists this ribosomal RNA (250 nucleotides) under uncultured bacterium. RNAcentral's name for it is "partial 16S ribosomal RNA". It matches the Rfam family "Bacterial small subunit ribosomal RNA", at positions 524 to 776 of the family's 1533-position model. The record is from RNAcentral.